ACGGCUCAGUAACACGUGGAUAAUCUGCCCUAAGGAGGGGGAUAAUUUCGGGAAACUGAAGAUAAUACCCCAUAGGUCAUGGAUGCUGGAAUGCUUCAUGGCCAAAAGCUCCGGCGCCUUAGGAUGAGUCUGCGGCCUAUCAGGUUGUAGUGGGUGUAGUGGACCCACUAGCCACUGACGGGUACGGGCGUUGGGAGACGUCGCCCGGAGAUGGAUUCUGAGACACGAAUCCAGGCCCUACGGGGCGCAGCAGUUACGAAAACUUGACAAUGCGGGAAACCGCGAUCAGGGAAUUCCAAGUGCAUGCACAUUGUGUAUGCUGUUCCAUUGUCUUAAAAACAUAGGAAGUAAGGGCUGGGUAAGACAGGUGCCAGCCGCCGCGGUAAUACCUGCAGCCCGAGUGGUGGUCGAUAUUAUUGAGCCUAAAGCGUCCGUAGCCGGACCAGUAAAUUCUUGGGUAAAUCGGGCAGCUUAACUGUCCGACUUCCGAGGAGACUGCUGGUCUUGGGACCGGGAGAGGUCAGAGGUACUCCAGGGGUAGGGGCUAAAUCCUGUAAUCCUUGGGGGACCACCAGUGGCGAAGGCGUCUGACUAGAACGGAUCCGACGGUAAGGGACGAAACCCUGGGGCGCAAACCGGAUUAGAUACCCGGGUAGUCCAGGGCGUAAACGCUGCAGGCUUGGUGUUGGGGAUCCUACGAGGAUGUCCAGUGCCGGAGUGAAGAUGUUAAGCCUGCCGCUUGGGGAGUACGUCCGCAAGGAUGAAACUUAAAGGAAUUGGCGAGAAAACAC
This 791-nucleotide ribosomal RNA is filed under the name uncultured archaeon. RNAcentral's name for it is "bacterial SSU rRNA". It matches the Rfam family "Archaeal small subunit ribosomal RNA", at positions 85 to 879 of the family's 1478-position model. The record is from RNAcentral.